UGAGAGCCUCAUUAGCGUACAAGUAGAUACU
Molecule: non-coding RNA, 31 nt
Filed under: Rattus norvegicus (Norway rat)
Lineage: Eukaryota; Metazoa; Chordata; Mammalia; Rodentia; Muridae
Source: RNAcentral